RNAcentral lists this long non-coding RNA (509 nucleotides) under Heterocephalus glaber (naked mole-rat). Its description in RNAcentral is "lncRNA (ENSHGLG00100050165.1)". The record is from RNAcentral. Lineage: Eukaryota; Metazoa; Chordata; Mammalia; Rodentia; Bathyergidae.
AAAGAGGGGACCCCAGGGAGCCCGGACCGGAAGGCACCGGCGAUGCUGGCCUGGGGCGCGCGAGCCCCGACGCUGGAGCGCAGGGGGAGGGGCAGAGCCGGGUAGGCGGCUGCGGGGAUCCCGGGCCGGGGGAGCCGCCUGCCGCAGAUGCGCGGCGUCCUCGGAACCGCGUGAAUUCCGCCCGCACCUGCUGAACGCAGAGCUGGACCUCGAGGCCUGAAGGAGCCCCCAGAGCGACGCUCCCGCCCUCCCCCCGCUGGACCCCCAGGACGCAUGGCCCUUCGCAGCUCUGGGAAGCCGGACAGCGGGUGUCACUUGGGACCCUCCCCGUCCUGGCUCCCUUCCCAGCACAGCCUCCCCACGACCUCCUGCCCCUCCUGCCCGCUGGGCCACCAGGAGAACCGGCCCUGCGACGACCUUGGACCCCCCCAGGCCCAGGUGCAGGUCUGGCUUAAGUUUCCUCAGAAGUGCCAGGAGCUUUAAAGGGCGUCUUUCCUCUCCCUCGGCCC